This 401-nucleotide ribosomal RNA is filed under the name uncultured bacterium. RNAcentral describes it as "bacterial SSU rRNA". It matches the Rfam family "Bacterial small subunit ribosomal RNA", at positions 28 to 412 of the family's 1533-position model. The record is from RNAcentral.
GAUGAACGCUGGCGGCGUGCCUAACACAUGCAAGUCGAGCGUGAAGUCUUGGAAUGAUACUUCGGUAAAGUGAAGAGAUGGAAAGCGGCGGACGGGUGAGUAACGCGUAGGUAACCUGCCCCAUACACAGGGAUAGCCUAGGGAAACCUGGAUUAAUACCUGAUAACGCAUUGUUGUCACAUGAUAACGAUGCCAAAGAUUUAUCGGUAUGGGAUGGACCUGCGUCUGAUUAGUUAGUUGGUGAGGUAACGGCUCACCAAGGCAGCGAUCAGUAGCCGACCUGAGAGGGUAAUCGGCCACAUUGGAACUGAGACACGGUCCAAACUCCUACGGGAGGCAGCAGUGGGGAAUAUUGCACAAUGGGCGAAAGCCUGAUGCAGCAACGCCGCGUGAGCGAAGAA